AUGGCACCCCACUGCACCUCCCGCCGCACCCCGGCCCCCGCCUCUCCCCAUCUCCUCGCACCGCGUCCUCUCCGGCUGGGGGUGCCCCGUCUCUCCCUGCUGCUCUCGGAGCUGAGAUUGGAGCUGUCUAAGGCGAGUCUUCGAGUGGCCUUUUCUCUCCUCCUCUUGCUCCGAGCGGUUUCUGUGGGGGUCACCACCCCCUCAACUCCCCAUCCAGGCACCGCGGGGUGUGGGUCUGGCGUGGUGCGGGUGACCUGUUUCUCUUGGGUUUGGUUUUUUUCUUUUGUGACAGUAUUAGAGGGGGUGGGACGUGCCCCUGUGCGGCGGGAGGAGUGGUGUGGGCACAUGGCAGGGCUGGGGCAACCUCUGGAGCCUUCCGUGGCCCAGAGCCGCCCUCUGCCCUCGGCCUGUCCUCUCCGCGGCUGCUCUCGCCCUCCGCUCAGGCGACUCACGGGUUUUCGGUCAGAGCUCAGGAACCCGGGACUCUCCUGCAAACACCUCACGGCCCAGGGGAGAGGCUCUGCUCUGGGCUGGAACUGCCAAAGGCUGCCCCGUCUCCCGGGGCUGGCAGAAAGGCCCCCGCACAGCUCCUGCACCUCCUGGCACGGGGCCCCGGCCCCUGCCCUGUCGCACACGCACACUCCCUGGCGGGCGGCCAUCGGCUGGUGGCAGCUCUGCCCUCCUCGAGAUAAUCGCCCCCUUCCUCCUUCUCCUCUUGUUGCUUUUACAAUCUCCCCCUCAGCCCGGCGGGGGGGUCCCAAAGGCAUCUCUCCCUCCCUCAGCCCAGCUCUGCGCCCUCAGAGCCCCAAAGCGCUGCCGUUUACAGCCGGUGUCCGAGUGGCUUCGCCGUGGAGCCCGCCCGGCGCUGGCCUGGUCCUUAAUGUCUCUCUUGCUGCUACUUCUCCUUCCCUUUGGACUUGGGCUGGCUCGGGGAGGGAGAGGGGAGGGGAGGGGAGGCCCCCGGCCCCCAGGGAUGGCUCCCGGCCCAGCUGGAGGAAGCAGGUUUGCUCCCAGCCAUCAUCUCACCAGCAUCGAACACCUGGGUGCUGCUGUGCCCCUUCCUGCGGGGCGGCGCGGGGCUCCCCGUGCUCCCCGGGGCCGCGGGACAAUCCGGGUACAAUCACAGCUUCCCCCGGCGUCCCUCGCCCUGCCGGCUGGUGGCUGACGCCAAGGCUUGUCCCCUCUCAAGGCUUGUCCCCUCUCGAGCCGUGGCUGGCUGGGGCGUGGGGCCAGGGCUGGGACCGUCCCCACCAGCAGAGCAGCUCCCCGGGCACGGGGCCAUGA
This 1284-nucleotide long non-coding RNA is filed under the name Falco tinnunculus (common kestrel). RNAcentral describes it as "lncRNA (ENSFTIG00000000612.1)". The record is from RNAcentral. Lineage: Eukaryota; Metazoa; Chordata; Aves; Falconiformes; Falconidae.